CUGGAUGUGAUGCAUAAUGACAUCUGACUGAAAGUGAAGGUGUUUGUAUUCAUACUGUCUGAUCCAG
Molecule: small nucleolar RNA, 67 nt
Organism: Cynoglossus semilaevis (tongue sole)
Lineage: Eukaryota; Metazoa; Chordata; Actinopteri; Pleuronectiformes; Cynoglossidae
Source: Ensembl